AUGCUCCGUCCUCUAUCCGCCUCAGUCAUCUCCCUCUCAUUCUCUCUCUGCUCCGUGUGUGUGUGCAGGGAGUGGGAGGAGAUAGAGCAGGGGCGUGGGAGGCCCUUCCACGGUGAAUGCAUAUGCAUCUUCCAUGGAGAUUUACAGAGAAGCUUCAGUAUGAGAAAAAAUGGGUCAUUAGUUCAUCCAUAUGCAACCUCCCGCGUGGUCAUCCAUUUUUAUUUGGAGCCUACUCACUACAAAGCACAAAAGAGGUUGGUGCUCACCUUCUUUGAGACCGCCGCCCACUCCCACAUUUACAGGCUCUACGACAAGACCUACUGCCUCGGCACCGCCACCGAUUGUGGAGUUUGA
Molecule: ribosomal RNA, 354 nt
Filed under: Triticum aestivum (bread wheat)
Lineage: Eukaryota; Viridiplantae; Streptophyta; Magnoliopsida; Poales; Poaceae
Description: partial small subunit ribosomal RNA
Source: RNAcentral